GACGAACGCUGGCGGCGUGCUUAACACAUGCAAGUCGAACGGAAAGGCCCUGCUUUUGUGGGGUGCUCGAGUGGCGAACGGGUGAGUAACACGUGAGUAACCUGCCCUUGACUUUGGGAUAACUUCAGGAAACUGGGGCUAAUACCGGAUAGGAGCUCCUGCUGCAUGGUGGGGGUUGGAAAGUUUCGGCGGUUGGGGAUGGACUCGCGGCUUAUCAGCUUGUUGGUGGGGUAGUGGCUUACCAAGGCUUUGACGGGUAGCCGGCCUGAGAGGGUGACCGGCCACAUUGGGACUGAGAUACGGCCCAGACUCCUACGGGCGGCCACAGUGGGGAAUCUUGCCCCAUGGGCGGAAGCCUGAUGCAGCAACGCCGCGUGCGGGAUGACGGCCUUCGGGUUGUAAACCGCUUUCGCCUGUGACGAAGCGUGAGUGACGGUAAUGGGUAAAGAAGCACCGGCUAACUACGUG
Molecule: ribosomal RNA, 468 nt
Filed under: uncultured bacterium
Lineage: Bacteria
Description: partial 16S ribosomal RNA
Rfam family: Bacterial small subunit ribosomal RNA
Source: RNAcentral